CCCGCCGUAUUUAAUCAUAUUAAUAAGCGGAGGAAAAGAAAACAACCGUGAUUCCCUUAGUAGCGGCGAGCGAACCGGGAAAAGCCCAUCGCCGAAUCUCGCCGCGCACUUUUGUGUCGCGGCACGUAUGAGAUUUGUGGCGUACGGGCCGGCCUCGUUGCCGGGGCGCACGUGACGGUCCAAGUCUCGCUUGAACGGGGCCAUGGCCCGCAGAUGGUGCCAGGCCAGUAGAGGCCGUCACAGCGUUCCGGGAUCGGACCUCGCCUUCGAGUCGGGUUGCUUGAGAGUGCAGCCCGAAGCGGGUGGUAAACUCCAUCUAAGGCUAAAUACGGCCACGAGACCGAUAGUUUACAAGUACCGUGAGGGAAAGUUGAAAAGAACUUUGAAGAGAGAGUUCAUAAGAACGUGAAACCGCUCGGUUGUAAACGGACAGAGCUCGCGAAUCCCCGCCGGGCGAAUUCACGGUCGGUCUAACCGCCGGCCGGAUCUUUCGCUCGGUUAGCGGACGUCGCGACCCGUUGGGCGCCGGCCGAAUGGCCCGGGUGACGUUCGUCGCGUCGGUCGCGUUUCGGCGUGACCGUUCGCGCCGAGCCCCGGUGCUCAUGGUCGGCUCGCCCGAUGGCAAGAACCGUCAACGCGGCCCCGUCGCUGGCGGGGUCCCGUCGGUCGGCGACGUGUUUCGAGCUACUUUCCGACCCGUCUUGAAACACGGACCAAGGAGUCUAACGUGUGCGCGAGUCAACGGUGAUCUUACGAAAAACCACGUUUGGCGCAAUGAAAGUGAACCGUUUACGGUGCGGACGAUGGCCUAGCGACCGAACCCACCGGCGUUCAAAGUCGCGCUGGUCCGCAGUCCGGGGGCGUCUCCGCCAAGUCGACUUCGGCCGGCUGGGGGCGCACCCUUAGCGCACACGUUGGUACCCGAAAGAUGGUGAACUAUGCCUGGCCAGGAUGAAGUCAGGGGAAACCCUGAUGGAGGUCCGCAGCGAUUCUGACGUGAAAAUCGAUCGUCUGAGCUGGGUAUAGGGGCGAAAGACUAAUCGAACCAUCUAGUAGCUGGUUCCAUCCGAAGUUUCCCUCAGGAUAGCUGGCGCCGAUGUGUCCCGCCCGUUCGCGGGCGUACGGACGCCGGUGGGACUCCGCGCUGUACGGCGCGUUAACAACACGCUCGUAACACGGAGGAUGUCUCAUACGCGAAAGCGAAUGAUUAGAGGACAUUGGGGCCGAAACGACCUCAACCUAUUCUCAAACUAUAAAUGAGUGAGAUCGCCGGCUUUACCUGGUACACCGCGUGAACCGCGUGCGAAGCCGGCGACGGAACCCUAGGCGCUUAGUGGGCCAUUUUUGUUAAGCAGAACUGCCGCUGCGGGAUGAACCGAACGCCGAGUUAAGGCGCCGAAAUCGACGCGUAUUCAGAGACCAUGAAAGGCGUUGGUUGCUGAUGACAGCAGGACGGUGGCCAUGGAAUUCGGAAUCUGCUAAGGAGUGUGUAACAACUCACCUGCCGAAGCAACUAGCUCUGAAAAUGGAUGGCGCUGGAGCGUUGUGCCUAUACUCGGCCGUCGACGGCAUAGUGGGGCCAGUCGUCGCUCGCGGCGGCCGGUCCCGGCAAGCCUCGACAAGUAGGAUGGCGCGGCGGUGUGCGUCGAAGGGCAGGUCGCGAGACCGCCUAGAACCGCCGUCGGUGCAGAUCUUGGUGGUAGUAGCAAAUACUCGAGAGGGGCCCUCGGGGGCUGCCGUGGAGAAGGGUUUCUUGCGAACAGCCGUUGUCCAAGAGCCAGUCGAUCCUAAGCCCGGGGAGAGAUCCUCGUACCACGGGCGAAGGCGUUUUCGAAUCGCCCUUGGGGCGAGAGGGAAUCCGGUUCGUAUUCCGGAACCCGACGCGGAACCGCUCCCUAGUGUUCGGGGCUCUUUUUUCUCGUCUGGGUAACCAGAAUGAACUCGAAGAAGCCGCCGGGGGAUCUGGGUAGAGUUCUCUUUUCUCUGUGAGCGUUGUACGUCCCUGGAAUCCUCUAGCCGGGCAAUAGGGACGCGAGCGCGAAGAGCACAGCUCGUUGCGGCGGUGUCCGUGAUCCCCACGCGGACCUUGAAAAUUCGAGAGAGGGCCACGCGGAGUCUUCGCGUCGGUUCGUACCGAUAUCCGCAGCAGGUCUCCGAGGUGAGCAGCCUCUAGUC
Molecule: non-coding RNA, 2175 nt
Organism: Acyrthosiphon pisum (pea aphid)
Lineage: Eukaryota; Metazoa; Arthropoda; Insecta; Hemiptera; Aphididae
Source: Rfam